UACGUAGGGACCAAGCGUUGUUCGGAUUUACUGGGCGUAAAGGGCGCGUAGGCGGCGUGGUAAGUCAGCUGUGAAAUCUCCGAGCUUAACUCGGAACGGUCAGCUGAUACUGCUGUGCUAGAGUACAGAAGGGGCAAUCGGAAUUCUUGGUGUAGCGGUGAAAUGCGUAGAUAUCAAGAGGAACACCGGUGGCGAAGGCGGAUCUCUGGGCCGUAACUGACGCUGAGGAGCGAAAGCAUGGGGAGCGAACAGG
This 253-nucleotide ribosomal RNA is filed under the name uncultured bacterium. RNAcentral's name for it is "partial 16S ribosomal RNA". It matches the Rfam family "Bacterial small subunit ribosomal RNA", at positions 524 to 776 of the family's 1533-position model. The record is from RNAcentral.